UCUAUUACGUGCGCGGAAAUUGUUAUCAUUUUUGGCUCAAAAAUGGUAACAAUUUCCGCACGUAAUACA
This 69-nucleotide microRNA precursor is filed under the name Paramuricea clavata. The record is from RNAcentral. Lineage: Eukaryota; Metazoa; Cnidaria; Anthozoa; Malacalcyonacea; Plexauridae.